Lactuca sativa (garden lettuce) is the source of this 966-nucleotide long non-coding RNA. RefSeq lists it as uncharacterized. NCBI's taxonomy places the organism in Eukaryota, Viridiplantae, Streptophyta, Magnoliopsida, Asterales, Asteraceae. The record is from RefSeq and is a predicted model, not a curated record.
AUAUCUUUGACUAUUGGAUAAUUUAUUUUGGAUUGUGUGUUUUAAUUUAAUAUAUGUUGAAAUUCUAAAUUGUUAGUUAUUUAUUUAUUUGCAACCAUACUAACUUGUUUUUUUGUAUCUUUGACCUUGAAUGCUUCAACUUUGAAAAUUUGAACAUAAAAACAAUAGACAAUUUUUUUGACAUUAGCAAUCUUUUAAUUUUCAUGUUUUGUCAACAUCUCACAACUUCUCAUUAUAAAUAGGCCCUUCCACCUCUACAUUUUCAUUUAACUUAUUAUUCUCUAAGUUGAAGGUUUUGAGUUGUUUUUUCUUUUCAAGAACAUUCAUGGAAGCUAACCUCCCAAUUCAAGAGAGGUCCACGUGUUGGCAACAUUUUGAUAUGUUGUGGGUAGUAGAAAAUGAUGGGGUUGAACGAAGGCAAGCAAGGUGUAAGUAUUGUUUCGCUACACUUAAAGCCGAUCCAUCAAGACACGGUACAAGUAGUCUUAAUAAACAUUGUCGUACGUGUGCCAAAAAUCCGAAUAAUAUAGCUAGAGAUUGAAGAUGCGUUAACUCGACAAGAUGGUCAAGGAAUAAGUGUUGUUUUGUUCUUAAUUGUUUAAGAAUUUUGAUUUGAAUUGUUUUGAAUAUUAGACUUUGAUUUUGAAUUGUUCAAUAGGUACCAUGAACUUGGACCCAACCAUUGUCCCCUUCUUCGCUUGUGUUAUGUUCUUUUCAUUGUUAUUUUACCACAACAUGGAUAAAAAGAAACAUUCAUUAAAAUGAUUAUUAAAAAUGACGAAAGUCAUUGAUUAAAAUAAAAGUAAUAAAAAAAUAAUAAAGUGGAAUGUGGAUGUGCAUGCAUUGAUUAAAAUAUCAUUCAUUUAUACUUGUUUACACCCACAUGCACAAUUGCACAGUACCAAACAAGUAAAUUUGAUUCAAGUUCAAAAACAUUAAUCAACCAAAACAAACACUUACAAACCA